This 1370-nucleotide ribosomal RNA is filed under the name uncultured bacterium. RNAcentral's name for it is "bacterial SSU rRNA". It matches the Rfam family "Bacterial small subunit ribosomal RNA". The record is from RNAcentral.
UAAUACAUGCAAGUCGAACGGGGAGUUUUGCUUCGGUAGAACUCCGAGUGGCGAACGGGUGAGUAACGCGUUGGUGACCUACCCCGAAGAGCGGGAUAACAGUUCGAAAGGACUGCUAAUACCGCAUGUGGAUGGAGAGAUUAGAAGCUCUGCAUCGAAAGGAGCAAUCCGCUUCGGGAGGGGCCUGCGACCCAUCAGCUAGUUGGUAGGGUAAUGGCCUACCAAGGCUGCGACGGGUAGGGGACCUGAGAGGGUGACCCCCCACACUGGCACUGAAACACGGGCCAGACACCUACGGGUGGCAGCAAUAGGGAAUAUUGCACAAUGGGCGCAAGCUUGAUGCAGCAACGCCGCGUGCGCGAUGAAGGCCUUCGGGUCGUAAAGCGCUUUUCUGGAGGAAGAGCAAGGACGGUACUUCAGGAAGAAGGAUCGGCUAACUACGUGCCAGCAGCCGCGGUAACACGUAGGAUCCGAGCGUUAUCCGAAUUUACUGGGCGUAAAGCGCGUGCAGGUGGUUUGGUAAGUUGGACGUGAAAUCUCCCGGCUCAACUGGGAGGGGUCGUUCAAGACUGCCAGACUAGAGGGCAGUAGAGGGAGGCGGGAAUUCCCGGUGUAGUGGUGAAAUGCGUAGAUAUCGGGAGGAACACCAGUUGGCGAAAGCGGCCCUCCUGGGCUGCACCUGACGCUCAGACGCGAAAGCUAGGGGAGCGAACGGGAUUAGAUACCCCGGUAGUCCUAGCUGUAACGAUGUGGACUUGGCGUCGGUGGGUUCAAAUCCGCCGGUGCCGCAGCUAACGCGCUAAGUCCACCGCCUGGGGGCUACGGCCGCAAGGGUUAAAACUCAAAGGAAUUGGCGGGGGCCCGCACAAGCAGCGGAGCGUGUGGUUUAAUUCGAUGCUACACGGAGAACCUUUACCCGGGUUUGACAUGCAGGUGGUAGGGAACUGAAAGGGGACCGACCCUUCGGGGAGCCUGCACAGGUGCUGCAUGGCUGUCGUCAGCUCGUGUCGUGAGAUGUCCGGUUAAGUCCGGUAACGAGCGCAACCCCUGCUGGAUGUUACAAGUGUCAUCCAGGACUGCCGGUUUAGUGCCGGAGGAAGGCGGGGAUGACGUCAAGUCAGCAUGGCCUUUAUAUCCGGGGCUACACACACGCUACAAUGGCCAGUACAAUGGGUCGCAAAGCCGCAAGGUGGAGCCAAUCCCCAAAGCUGGUCUCAGUUCGGAUUGCAGGCUGCAACUCGCCUGCAUGAAGUCGGAGUUGCUAGUAACCGCGCGUCAGCCAUAGUGCGGUGAAUACGUUCCCGGGCAUUGCACACACCGCCCGUCACGUCAUGGGAGCUGGCAACACCUGAAGCCGGUAUCCGAACCGU